ACCUACUGUUUAAUUUUGAGGGUUCGUUUUUACGAAUGCUCAAAAUUAGCACUUUAAGCAACGGGAUUUAUCCGUUGGCGCUGUGCGUUAGCACUUUGAAAACUGCAUAUAUAUAUUUAGUGAUAUGACAUCUAAUUUGUAAUAUAAAGCUGAUAACUUUUUAAAAUUAUCGAAGUUGAUAGCUUCUAAUCUAUCAAACCUUUUUAACUGGUCAA
Molecule: unclassified non-coding RNA, 215 nt
Filed under: Clostridioides difficile
Lineage: Bacteria; Bacillati; Bacillota; Clostridia; Peptostreptococcales; Peptostreptococcaceae
Description: 16S-23S ribosomal RNA intergenic spacer (ISR)
Source: RNAcentral